CAUCGCCCGUCACUCUCAUUAAUUAUUUUUAGUUGAGAUAAGUCGUAACAUAGUGGUUGUACUGGAAAGUGUAGCUG
Molecule: ribosomal RNA, 77 nt
Filed under: Blatta orientalis (oriental cockroach)
Lineage: Eukaryota; Metazoa; Arthropoda; Insecta; Blattodea; Blattidae
Description: 12S ribosomal RNA
Source: RNAcentral